RNAcentral lists this unclassified non-coding RNA (228 nucleotides) under Hevea brasiliensis (rubber tree). The record is from RNAcentral. Lineage: Eukaryota; Viridiplantae; Streptophyta; Magnoliopsida; Malpighiales; Euphorbiaceae.
GAUCAGGAAAACCGUGUUGUAACAUUAAAGCAAGAAGUUGAACAUUGUAUUAAGAUGGCAGAGUUGAUAGAAUACAAUUUGGAAGAUGCUGAUGCUGCCAUAUUAGCAGUACGUGUAGCUCUUGCUAAUGGAAUGAGUUGGGAAGAUUUGGCUCGAAUGGUGAAAGAGGAGAAAAGAUCUGGAAAUCCAGUAGCUGGACUUAUUGACAAGCUCCAUCUUGAAAGGAAC